GAAACUAAAACUAAACUGUUUCUGCAAAUCAUACAAAGUUGUUGCCAGCUGUUAUUUUAGCAUCAGAGGUGCCAGGCCUUAUAACAAGUGAGGUGUAUGCUGGACUCAGCACUGAAAACUCUUUUUAGAGUGAGUUUAUUCUGAAUGGAAGUAAUGGGAUAACGAGAGGGAAAUUGUUUUUCUUACUAUUCUCACACAGGUGCUUUACCGAGGUAGCCCCCUUCCUCGAAUGUUAUUGAAAGCACUGUUAUGGUUAUAUUUGCUUUAUUUUUUCUAUUUAUGGCAUGGUUACAUAUCAUUGGCUUCAAUUGCACAAUAAUGGUAUCAAUUAUUUUCUGACAAACAGUUAAGGAUAAGCCAUAAGGAUGUUUCUGUAUACAGGUACGUUAAAGUGGGGUGGUCUAUUUAUUCCAAUCUCAAUAUGUUUGUUAUCAGCCGUUUUGCCAUGCGACAUGACACAUGUGCUUUGGUAGUUAUCUCAGCCCACUCAUCCAGUUGUGUGGUCCCUGAAUAAUCUGCUCUUUGAUUGAAGUCAAGUUCUUGCUGUUCCUAAGCCAAUUGGAAGUGCAGAAUCUGAUGUCUUCCAAAGUUACAGCAACAAGGACUGAUGGAAGAAAAGUCUCAAAGACAAAAGAGCACAAAGGGGGAAAAGCAGCCCAGGAGUGACAGAUUUCUCCUCUCAGAUAUGUUACACAGACAGAAACAAGGUUGUGGGUGGAUCAACUGUCUGAAAUGUUUCCAGAUUCCCCCAAACACCAGAUAGAAAUUGUUGUUCAGAGGUACAUGCAGAAACUGCUCUUUUGCAUGAAUUGCUGGAUAAGUUGCAGGAGGGAGAUGUUUCUAAAGUCCUUCACAACCAUCCUUCCUCUGAGUCCUUCUGGUCAGCGAUAAAUGCCUCUCACUGGCCAAUAACCAAGAAGAUAACAGAUAAGAAUGUGGCACAUCUUGUACAAAACCUACUGGUGACUGAAAUAAUUUCGUUCAGGAAGUUUGAGAUAGACUCAUUCGCUGAAGGUCUCAAGAAUUUGGAGUUCCUAGAUGCCACAAAGAACAACAAGGAAGUCUGCUUUAAGCUGCUUUGUAAUUCUAUUGAGCAAACCCUCACUCCUGAUGAAUUUAAUAAUCUCUUUGAUGCCAGUGUACAAAGGCCCUCUGACUUUGCCCAGCUACAUUCCUAUGACUGGUUCAUGGAUUAUGUAAUGCUGGUGAGGAGAAACUCAUAUGUCUGCUGCAGUUCAUUACUGGCUUUCAAUCAAUUCCACCUUAUGGUCUCCCUCACAACAUUGUGCUAAGAUAUAUUCCUGAUGAUGAUGAGAAACUUCCAUGCCAUUAGCAACAGUACACCUGGCGAUGUUACAGCUCCCAACAAUUCAUUCCCCUGAGAAUGGUUUCAAUCAAAGCUUGGAUAUUGCCUUAAAGUUUGAAAGCCAGAGGUUUCCUACUGUUUAGCACCUUUGUAACUCAAAGCAAAGAAAAUACCAGUGAACUGCAGUUUUCUGAAAACGCUUUAAGUUGGCUGUAUUGAUUUGUAGUUGUUCUCUUGUUUGUUUUGAUGCAUUACAUAGAACUUAUUAAACUUUCAUAAAGAAAUAACAAUUGCUAGUCCCAGACUGAGGGACUGAAGGCUGGUUUUAACUAGCAAUGGAGUCGUAGUUGGAGUUGUAUGUAAUCAGAUGCGUAGAGGAAUAUGAUGUAGUGAAAAUGAAACGGUCGCACGGUCGUACAUCCAAAUUUUUUCGGCUUGAUGGGUUACUACUAUUUUGUACAAUUUAAAUUAUGGGGUUACGCUCUGCGAGCUCCGCUAUCAUGUUUGCUAGGAAAAUGUAACUAAUCCAAGCUCUUUUAUUUUCUUGAGUCUCAGAAUAAUUUUUUUCGCAAAUUACAGGUUUUCAUUUCGUUUCGUUUCGUUUCGCAAAUUACAGUAAGCCGAAUUUUGGGGUGAUCGGGGUGUUCGGAGUGAUUAAUCAGCGUUUUGCUUCCAGUGGAUUCACUCGGUUGGCGUUACUCACAGAUUUGUUUUGGAAGGGAUUAUGUAGAGGGUUAGGCAGAUGAACUAAAACCGGGCUAAAUUAACCGAGCUCAGCCCAAAAAAAUUCACUCAAUGCAAAAGAACAACCACUUUAACAGGGUAAAUUUGUUAAAUUUUUAUUGUCAAAGUAUUAUUCAAAACACGUCCAGAUCUUUCUAAAGUCGAGAGCGCGGCUGUUUAUUCCCAUGCAAAUCCCUGAUUCACCCAUUGCGCAACGGAAACAUUUUUGCAUAAUCACAGAGGCUCACCGUGUGAGCUUGGGUUUUCAGUAAUUGGACGUCAAACUUGUUAAAAUAU
This is a non-coding RNA of Pocillopora verrucosa, 2326 nucleotides long. The record is from RefSeq and is a predicted model, not a curated record. Lineage: Eukaryota; Metazoa; Cnidaria; Anthozoa; Scleractinia; Pocilloporidae.